RNAcentral lists this ribosomal RNA (431 nucleotides) under uncultured gamma proteobacterium 400m-ATT-22. RNAcentral describes it as "bacterial SSU rRNA". It matches the Rfam family "Bacterial small subunit ribosomal RNA", at positions 8 to 442 of the family's 1533-position model. The record is from RNAcentral. Lineage: Bacteria; Pseudomonadati; Pseudomonadota; Gammaproteobacteria.
AGAGUUUGAUCAUGGCUCAGAUUGAACGCUGGCGGCAGGCCUAACACAUGCAAGUCGAACCGUAACAGGAAGUGCUUGCACUUCGCUGACGAGUGGCGGACGGGUGAGUAAUGCUUGGGAACUUGCCUUUGCGAGGGGGAUAACAGUUGGAAACGACUGCUAAUACCGCAUAAUGUCUACGGACCAAACGGGGCUUCGGCUCCGGCGCAAAGAGAGCCCAAGUGAGAUUAGCUAGUUGGUAAGGUAAAGGCUUACCAAGGCAACGAUCUCUAGCUGUUCUGAGAGGAAGAUCAGCCACACUGGAAACUGAGACACGGUCCAGACUCCUACGGGAGGCAGCAGUGGGGAAUAUUGCACAAUGGGGGAAACCCUGAUGCAGCCAUGCCGCGUGUGUGAAGAAAGCCUUCGGGUUGUUAAAGCCCUUUCAGUUG